This 433-nucleotide ribosomal RNA is filed under the name uncultured bacterium. Its description in RNAcentral is "partial 16S ribosomal RNA". It matches the Rfam family "Bacterial small subunit ribosomal RNA", at positions 29 to 507 of the family's 1533-position model. The record is from RNAcentral.
AACGAACGCUGGCGGCAUGCCUAACACAUGCAAGUCGAACGAGACCUUCGGGUCUAGUGGCGCACGGGUGCGUAACGCGUGGGAACCUGCCUUUAGGUUCGGAAUAACUCCCCGAAAGGGGUGCUAAUACCGGAUAAUGUCUUCGGACCAAAGAUUUAUCGCCUUUGGAUGGGCCCGCGUUGGAUUAGCUAGUUGGUAGGGUAAAUGCCUACCAAGGCGACGAUCCAUAGCUGGUCUGAGAGGAUGAUCAGCCACACUGGGACUGAGACACGGCCCAGACUCCUACGGGAGGCAGCAGUGGGGAAUAUUGGACAAUGGGCGAAAGCCUGAUCCAGCAAUGCCGCGUGAGUGAUGAAGGCCUUAGGGUUGUAAAGCUCUUUUACCCGGGAUGAUAAUGACAGUACCGGGAGAAUAAGCUCCGGCUAACUCCGUG